AUGCUGGUGGAGGGCCACCGUCGCCGUCCGCCGGGGUGGCUCGCCACCGCUGGGGUGUGGUACUGCGCCGUGCCGGACGCCGCUUGCUUUCCUCCCGCCGACCUCCUUUCCUUCGAGAUCUCUCCAGAGGUCGUUCUCCUGGCCGACCUAGCUUGUGUGCCUGCCGCCGCUUCACACACAAGCGCUGCACCUUUCUCGUCCCGGCUAGCGUCCCGAUUGCCACCUCUUGCCUCUCCAUUCUCCCCUACGUCUGGCUGUCCUCCUCCUCCCCUUGCUUCCCUGACGUUGCCUCCAAUGUUGGUAAGUAAGAUUCACCCUGUGUCGCAGUGGCUUAUAAUUGAUGAAGCUGAUCGCAAACUUGUGCCAAAUUUUGAGGAGGACAUGAAACAAAUAUUUAAGUGCCUCCCUCGGGCUCUCUGCUCGAAAUGUCUGCUGAGCAUCUUCUUCAUUGAGCCAAAAUCAAUUGCUUGGUGCAGUUUCAGAUUGUUCUUACUAUCCAAUACUAAUUUAUAA
RNAcentral lists this ribosomal RNA (513 nucleotides) under Triticum aestivum (bread wheat). Its description in RNAcentral is "partial small subunit ribosomal RNA". The record is from RNAcentral. Lineage: Eukaryota; Viridiplantae; Streptophyta; Magnoliopsida; Poales; Poaceae.